CGAACGCUGGCGGCGUGCUUAACACAUGCAAGUCGAACGAUGAAGCUGGAGCGUUGCUCCGGCGGUAUUAGUGGCGAACGGGUGAGUAACACGUGAGCAAUCUGCCCUUGAACUCUGGGAUAACUGCGGGAAACUGUAGCUAAUACCGGAUACGACGCCUUAGGGGCAUCCCACGGGUCGUGGAAAGAAUUUCGGUCAAGGAUGAGCUCGCGGCCUAUCAGCGUAGUUGGUGAGGUAAUGGCUCACCAAGGCGACGACGGGUAGCCGGCCUGAGAGGGUGACCGGCCACGACUGGGGACUGACGACACGGCCCAGGACUCCUACGGGAGGCAGCAGUGGGGAAUAUUGCGCAAUGGGCGAAAGCCUGACGCAGCAACGCCGCGUGAGGGGAUGAAGGCCUCGGUUUCGUAAACCGUCUUUUAGCAGGGAACGAAGGCGAAAGUCGA
Molecule: ribosomal RNA, 446 nt
Filed under: uncultured Microbacteriaceae bacterium
Lineage: Bacteria; Bacillati; Actinomycetota; Actinomycetes; Micrococcales; Microbacteriaceae
Description: bacterial SSU rRNA
Rfam family: Bacterial small subunit ribosomal RNA
Source: RNAcentral